This 35312-nucleotide long non-coding RNA is filed under the name Vitis vinifera (wine grape). Lineage: Eukaryota; Viridiplantae; Streptophyta; Magnoliopsida; Vitales; Vitaceae. The record is from RNAcentral.
GAGAGCACAUGAUAAACAAGUUGAGGCGGUUGAGGCAUGCACACAAGGUAUGGGAUUGCUACAUAUUAUAUAUAUAUAUAUAUAUAUAUAUACUUGGCCCAAGAAUUUGAAUUCCAAUAUAUAUUUAGCCUUUGUUUACUGGUAAUCUUUUUACAUAUUUCAUCAUUUUGAAAUGAUUCAGACCCAUUCCAUACCAGAUUACCAGGCGUAGGAAAGGAGUAGGUCGGAAAAGACUAAAAGAAAAGAAAAAUCUAUACCCAACUCUGCAUCUAGAUUCUAGACCAGGUACAGAAUUAUAAAGGUGUAAAGUAAUCGACCUGGACAGUUUCAAUAUGAGAACAAAAAUACCAUGAAUCACAUCAAGCAGCAACAUACUGGACCACCCCUAAGCGUACAUAUGGCGACCUCACAAAGCACUUCUCCUUUGAAUAUGUGGCACAUCUAACCCUUUGUCCGGAUGCACACCUGGACUGACACGUGACACGUCCAACCCUCUAUUAGGACAACCAUGGGACUGACAUGCGAAACACACCUCCCCUGUCGGAAUGUCUUGCUUGGACUCAGUGGUUAGCGUCUCAAAUAAGAGUCUUGACCGCGUUUCGCAGACAAUCAUUAUUCAUUUUCCCAAAAGCAUGCUCGACAGGACUUUCCUGGGUCACUUCAGGCAACCUGCCACGACCUGUCAUGAGUCGUCUGCAGAGCAAAAAGACAAGGAUGACGACAAAUCAUCCAUCUAGCAAUCUCUAACAGUUGUCCCGAUGGUUCUACCACCCUCUAAGCAUCAUUAUGACAGCCAAAAAGUGUUUCUACCAUUCCAAGGGACAAUGCUCCUGGCACUAUAAAAAGCCCUUACCCAAUCAGAGAAGAUAAGCAUUUCGAAGGAGAAGGGCCCCAUAAAAAUAUCACAAUGUUAGAAAACAAAACUAACAAAGGCAUCGAAGGGUGUGUCCGGAUCCCCUGUUCGGACAUCUUUUGCAGGUUAAUGGAAAGAAGUAUAAUCUUUAAUUGAGGAGGCGAGUACAUCAGCAACUGCAGUGAUUCUGGUAACGUGAGCCCUCAACAAUACAAACAAGAGAUAAUGACAAUCUAGAUUGCUCUGGGGGUUCAGAAAUAUUGUCCAUCUCAAUUUUCCAUUUAAAAAAAAUUAAGAGAAUUAUAAAUAAAUAAAUAAAUAAAAAAAACACAAAUUACAACAGCAAUUUGAAGCCCAACGCCUGCAAAAUUGCAGAUCUAGAAACGCCGAUCUCAACUUUGGUACAAUCAGAAGGUACAAAUCAACCAGAAGAGAAUAACAGAGAAAAGAAAACGAAGGAAAAUUUUGCAUACCUGUAUACAUGUUGAGAGAGGGGAAAGAUGGACGCCGCCUCCAAUUCACGGCCAGCAUCACCUUUUCCUUGAUGGAUCUACCUUUCCUGCUCAAAUUUUUGGAAGAAAUUCAACUGAACAAGGAAACCCUCAGAUCUCCGGAGGAAGCACUCCCGUCUCCAACUCCAGCUGCCGAGGAAAGGCUCACAGCUCCCAUUAUAUAUAUAUAUAGAAAAGCACGUAUUUUUUUAAUACCAGGCGUUUCUAUGGCGCGUUGUAAUCACUUGCGUAAUUGAUCAGACGGGACAACAAAACAAAUUUGAAACCAGUCAACAAUACCUGUUUAGGGCAGACAAUAGAUGGCGUUUCUGUGGCGCGUUGAAAUCACUUGUGUAAUUGAUCAGACGAGACAACCAAAACAAAUUUGAAACGAACAAUACUUGUUUAGAGCAGAAAAUAGAUAAUCUCAUAAAACAAUCCAUAGUUUCAUUAUCAUCAAACUUAUAUAAAUAUAUACCGAGGAGUGAUGAAAGCAGCACAUCAAGCGCAUGCCAUCAUCACUGAUCGUAACGCAUGGCGUCAUCCUUGAUCAUACUUCUUGUUCAAAGCAAAAAACAUAAAGCAAUCCAUAGUUUCCUUAUAUAUAUAUAUAUUAAAAGUAGCAGAUGAAGUCAUGGCGGCGGCAUCAUCAUCAUCAUCAUCAUCAUCAUCAUCAUCAUCAUCUCAUCAUCAUCAUCAUCAUCAUCAUCAUCAUCAUCAUCCUUCUUGCUGAAAGCACAAAAUAGAUAAUUUCAUUAUAUAUAUAUAUAUAUAUAUAUGAGUAGGGUGCGCACUGCGCAUGAUAUCAUGGUCAUGGAGUGGAUGGGGGGCAGGGCCGAUACUGAUCUCGAUUGUCACCCCCGAUGUACGUGCAGGAGGAAGAAGCGGACGGGGGAACGGGGCCCCGUUCCAUUACAACCGCCUCCUUGUAGCCGCUAUUAACCCUCCGUGCUCCUACGAGAAUCAGCCAGAGAGAGAGUGAGAUGGAGACCCACGUCAUCACUCGCUUCAACACAUUCAUGGUGGAAAGUUGGUGCUAAAAAUACGGCAUAAGCUGGUGUUUAUAUAAACGGUAACCAUUUCCUGCAUGGAAGGUUUCAGCAGCCAUCCGCCAGUCGUUGAAAAGAUUCUACUUCACUAUCAGUCCAAUCCCACAAACUAUGAUUGGACCACCGCUUUUCACAGAUUAAUUUAAUAUUUGUAAAAGGACUGAAAACAGAAAGUUACAGAUGUGGAUGGCACUUAUUGCCACGUCAAUAUCGAUUUCAAUCCUAUCCCUUCGAGUCUUGGUUAAAUAUAUCUUACCUCUCAAAAUUUCAAUGUACUCCCUUAUUUAGAAAAAUAAUAAUAAUAAUAAUAAUUUAACCCCUCCCUCAUGACUUGUCUACUUGUCUACUUGUCUUUCAUUUAUUAUUGGCUCUCUUUAUCAAAUUUUAAGAUUACCAUUUUUUCCUAAACCAUAAUCCCAUUUCAAAUUUUUAAGCUCACCAUAUUUUUUUCUACAAGCAUAAAUAUGAGAGCAGACCAAACCCUCUGCUCGACCUUUAAUGUUAUGGUACAAAAUAAAUAUUAACUUAAAAUUUUUACGUGUAUGUGUUUCUAGAAAACACUUAUAGUGUAAAAAUUGUUUCAAGAGAAAAAUUAUAAGUUCGACAAAACUUGAAAAACACUUUUAGAUUAUAUUUUAAAUUUGUUGUAUAUGGAUUAUAAUUGUUAAAAAUAAUUAACCGUUGAAAGUAAAUUUAGCGAUUAUUAAAUUAGAGGAGAUGAUUAUUUAUAUUUGUUUAAAUUUAUCAUUAUUUAGAGAGAGGGUGAAUUUAAGUCACACAAAUCCAAGUUAAGAACAAAAGUUUUUAUUAUUUAGAGGAGAUUAUUAAUUUAUUGAAUGGUUAUUUAUUUAAAUUAAAUUAUUUAUUUAUUGAGAUUUUACAAUAUUAAAAUGGAGAUUGAAAUGGAGAGUCAUAAAUUUAUGGUAUUAAUAAGUUUAUUACUUGAAUUAUAAAUUAUUUUUAAAAAUUAUUAGACUUGAUAAUGAAUUUAUCUUAUUUAAUUUAAGAUUUAUUUGCUUAGUGAAAAAACAAUCAAGAAAUAAUAAUGUUAUAUAGAAGAAAAAAAUUAGAGUUGUUUUAAAUCAAUUUUUGUUCAUAAAUUUAUGAUAUUAAUAAGUUUAUUAUUUAAAUUUUAAAUUAUUUUUAAAAAUUAAUAGAUUUGUUAACAAAUCCAACAUUAAGUUUGAUUUAAUGUGGAGUUAAUUUGUCUAAUAAAAAAAAUCAAAAAUUAACAAUUUCAUGUAAAAGAAAAUAAUAGAGUAUAUGUUUUAUUUUUAUUUUUAAAAAAUUUCGUCCAAUAGGCUUUAGACAGCCAAAAAUGGGUGCGUAGACAUCCUUUCAGCCUUUCUACUUUCUUGAUUGUGUCUUUAUAUGUUUGUCUGUUUUUCCUGGUUUGGAUAGUGUUCACAAUAAUUGUUUUUAUUUUUAUUUUUUUAAGUUUAAAGUAUUUCAGAGUAACCGACCUUGUAAUUUUUUAAGUUUGAAGUAUUGCAGAGAAACCCACUUUUUAUUUGUGUUUAUUUAUUUAUUGGUUUUAAAAUUGCUGACUAAUUUUAAAAAUAAUAAAAUUUAUUUAUUUUAAUGUUAUCAUUGAAUAUACUCUAUUUUAUAUUUAUUGGUUCACGCCUGCACCCCGGGUGACCAUUAGGACAAUUAUGCAUUUUAAUAAAUAACAUGCACCCACAUACACAUAGGAAAAAGUGGGUUUUUGAAAAAACAAACAUAUGAAAAGAGAAGCUCUAACUUUCAGUUAAAGUUGUACGGUUUGAAACCUAUCCUGAUUGAUAGUACAGCCAAAAAUGGGUGCGCAGGGCAGAUGUGAACCACAACCUCUCUCUUUUACUCCAUUUAGGAUAUGUGUUCACCCUUUUAUAUACUUUGUAAGCAAGACUAGUUUAUUUUUUAUUUUUUUGUAGAUGACUUACUGUUGUUGGAUAGAGAUGUAAUUUGCAAUUUUGUGGACAGGAUUCAUCCACAUUUCUCAUCUCAGCCCAAUCCAAACUUAAAUACCCCAAGUUGGAUCAGGACUGCAAUUGCUUAUUUUGACUUGGAUUUGAAUUAACUGCUAUAACCAGCCCAAUUUGCCUCUCAAGGAGGGAUUUAAGCCAUGGCCAGGGGCUUUAGAAUCUUUGGAACCAUAACUAAAUUCAAUUAACCUGAACCCUUAUAUCUUGUUGUACUUAAUUCUGUCUACUCUAGGGCUAGAUUUCUUGAUAAACUAACCUGUUUCAUCCAAUCAACUUCAACAUAACUCACUAACAUGAGUUUAAUUUGAUUUCUUACAGGGUGUUGAUCCAAUGACUUCAAAAGAAUUGAGCGAGAAGCCGUAUGAGGUGAAAAUCUCAUGUGCGGUUCUGUAGAGUGGCAGUAAGGGUGACUUAUUUGUCAACUUUUCCACUAUCACCCCCAAAAAACCAAACUCUGUCUUACGUAAAGUUGUCAGAAUACGAUUAACCUCUGAAUUUGAAAUCACUUCACAGAUACAACCUUUGUAACUUCAUGGUAUACCCAUGAAUUGACUAGUUUCUAUUUGAAAGGUUGCAAUUUCUUAACUGCCAUAGUUUCUACCCUUGCUAAUAGUUUAACACAUUCUUUAUUGUUUCUAUAGGGUCCUGAAGCACAAGGAGAUUUUACUCGUUGAUAUACCAACCUAUUUCAGGGUGUCUUCGAAACAGCUUUGCCGUUUCAGGCUGAUGAUAUUGCAGACCCUAAAUCUAUUAUUGUGAGUAGAGUUUGUUAAGUGCAGCCGUGUAACAACAUUGUUCUUAAAACCUCGGGAUGGAUCACCCAAACGAAGGCUCAUGAUGUUUCACCUACCCUAUCACCAAUUGGUUUCUAGAUAGAAUGGUCGAAACCCGAUCCAAGAGAAUUCAAACCUGAAAAAAAUUCCCAAACUUGAAAUUUGUAUUAACUCCCAAGAAUGAAAUUAUUCUCUCCUGUCUUCUUAAGUUGGACGCCAUCCAUUUCACAUGGAGGAGCAAAGGCCACAAUCAGUGGGCUUUGUUGGUAUUCUUUUACCCCUAAAUAAUGAUGAAGUUUAAAGAGUUUCUCAUUAUGAUCUAGUAUGGGAGCUGAGCGCUUCUUUGGAUCAGGUCUGUUUUGCCUGCCAAAAGCUCAAAAAAAUAAAACGGUAAAGCUAGGUUUGGCUCCCAAAAAUAUUUUAAAAAAUAAAAAUAAAUAAAUAAAUAAUAUAUUUAAAAUAAAAAAAUAAUUUUUAUAUAUUACUUUAAACUUAUUUAACUUAUGUAAUCUUCCAAUAUAAAGAUUAAAUAAUUUAAAAAUAUAUAAUUUUCUUACUGUUAAUUAUAUUCGACUUUCUUUUAUAUUUUCUAUGAUAUGAAAAAAUCAUUUUUCUUAUAUUUAUUUUCACUACUUUCCAUCCUAAAUCUGAUCUAAUACCCUCUAUAGACUAUCUCUUGAGCUAAGAAAAUUAAACUACAAUAUUAGAACACACUGCUCCAAUUUCAACCAAUUUAUAUCAGUUCAAUUAAUAAACAGAUUGGUCAACCAAUUGAUUCAAUUUAUUUUAUAAUUUAGGCAGUAUUCUUUUGAAGAAUUUCAAGCCAGGAUGUUGUCAAUCUUAAGAUUUUAUAAUAUUGACAGUGAUCUUUUCACACAAACUCAAGAUUGACUUUAGAUAACUGAUAACAAGUAAUGGAUAUUGAGACACUGUUCAAAUAUCAGCAGCUUCAGAAGUUGGCAUCUUGAAAAUCACCUUCAUGCAAUAGUCUAAACUUCAAAAUCCUCUGGAGAUCAGCAAUCGGUUUAGGAAACAUGGCCAAAUAGGUCCUAACCGCCUUCUUCAUCCAAACCCGAAGCUAGUAAUUUAUACACGAUUGGAGGAAUGCAGAGUAAACAUGAAAAAUGGGCAGAGCACGUGAUAAAGGGGUGUAGAUGAGAGCACACAUGAUAAUCAUGUUGAGGUAGUUGAGGCAUGCGCACAAGGUAUGGGAUUGCUACAUCUUUUAUAUAUAUACUAGGCCCAGGAAUUUGACUUCAAGUAUAUACUUAGCCUUAGUUUAGGGGUAAUCUUUUUACAUAUGUCAUCAGUUUUGAAAGGAUUCAGACCCCUUCUAUACCUGGCUUAGGAAAGGAGUACGUAGGAAAGACUGAAAGAAAAGAAAAAUCUAUACCCAACUCUGCAUCUAGACCAGGUACAGAAUCAUUAUAAAGGUGUAAAGUAAUCUACCUCAACAAUUUCAAUAUGGGACCAAACAUACCAUGAAUGACCCACCUAGCACUCUAGCAGCAACAUACAAACAGGAGAUAAUGACAGUAUAGAUUGCUCCUGGGCUUGAGAAAUAUUGUCUGUCAAUAUUCCAUUUAACAAAAUUAAGAGACUUAUUAAAUAUACCCAUUUACCAAAAGUGGGUUAUAAUACCUUGAUUUGGAAAUAAAUGUGAAAUAGGAAAUCAUAUUUUAAUAAUCCAAAAUACAUAAUAUCAUUUCAAAAUAUUUCAUAUUGGAUGCACUAAGAGCUUAGGUGUCUUUAAGUUUCAAUAAUACCCUCCCUAACAAUGGUCUGACAAAAGGAAUCACAAAAGAUAAGUGAAUGGAUGGAAAUGGAGUUUUUUUUUUCGUCAGGAAAAAGAGAAAGAAAUUAUGGGAAUGUGGGAGAGUGGACUGAGAAAAUGCCUUGAGAAGCACAGAAAUUCUGAAAAUUGGAAUCGAUUAUCGGGUACUCGCAUUCAAGAGAUUUCAUCGAACCCAUCUCUCUCAGUGUCACGUUCAAGCUUAAGAAAGUGUUGGAUUAAUUCGAGGAAAUCCACAGCCUCCAAUACUCACUGAUUGCAACUGUUUUCAUACCUUUCUCAUUAACAUGAAAGACUUAAAUACAACUGAAAAUAACAACUGACUCAAUCCACGACGCUGAUGCUGAUAUUCAGCUAACAACCCAACCUAAAGACCUAUUCUUAAGCCAAAAUACUUGGCUGUGAAUUAACGGAUGAUGCCCACGUACAAUUAUUGGACCCAAACAAUUAAAUUAAUCAACUCAACAUGACUCUGACUCAACCAAAUUAAAUAAUAAGCAACCAACAAAUUAAAUAAUAAGCAUUACACAACUGGGCCCAAGUGCACAUGACACUCAGCUCCACUACAGAGAGGUCCUCGUGCACGUUUUACCUUAAAGAGUUCUCUUCUAAAAGCUAAAUCAACGUCGUUUGCAUUUUCUGACUGUUUUUUCCCAGUGUUUUCUUCUAAUUUUUGUCUUUAUUUCUCCUCCGUCAAUCCCACAUUCCCAAGAAAAAGAUCAAACAAUAAUCCUCGAUAAUUGCCAAGAAAAAAAAGAUGAAACAUUGAUUUCAUAAAGCAAAAGAAACAUAUCAAGACAAAUCAAUAUGGAUUAAAGGGUAAAAUUAAUGCUCCAGCUUUCCGCUUACUUCUGCCACUCUCCCAGCAACCAAACAGAAAUCCCAAAAACCCAUAACACAAAUUGUGAAAAAAAAAAAAACAAUUGCCCAAGAAACAAUAGCAAGAACGUCACCGACAAUUAGGGUAAAAAUCAGACCAAAUCCAGAACGAAACAAACCGGAAAAGUUUAGAAAAAUUCUGGGGAAUUAAGGAAUGGGAAAGGGGCAAGCAACCCAUAAAAUGAAAGGAAUUACCUAAGGGCAGUAGAAAAAACGAAAAGGAUCUCAAAACAUAACAAAAGAGGAAAAACAAAAUCCUUUUAAGAAAAUUUUGACUAUUAUUUUCUGGGUAACCAAAUGGAAAACCCAAGAGAGAGAGAGAGCGCUUACCUAGGGUUCCGGGUUUUUCAGAGGGUGAGGUGAGAGCCAUUGUCGGCGCCAGUGGAAACCAGAGGGGAGAGGACGAAGGUUACCUCUUAUUUUCUUUUUCUUGAUCAAUUUUUCAUUUUUUUCUGAUACGAAAAAAGGAAAAAAAAUUUACUGGGCGGAGAUGGUGGCCAUAUCCGAUUCCACCGUCCUUCACAAAUCGUAUGAAGAAAAAGAAAAAAGAAGACAAAUUACAACAGAAAUUCGAAGCUCAAGGCCUGCAAAAUUGCAGAUCUAGAAACGCCGAUCUCAACUUUGGUACAAUCAGAAGGUAGAAAUCAACCAAAAGAGAAUAACAGAGAAAAGAAAACUAAGGAAAAUUUUGCAUAUCUGUAUACAUGUUGAGAGAGGGAAAAGAUGGACGCAGCCUCCAAUUCACGGCCAGCAUCACCUUUUCCUUGAUGGAUCUACCUUGCCUACUCAAAUUUUUGGAAGAAAUUCAACCGAACAAGGAAACCCUCAGAUCUCCGGAGGAAGCACUCCCGUCCCCAACUCCAGCUGCCGAGAAAAGGCUCACAGCACCCUUUAUAUAUAUUUGGUUGGGGAAAUAAUCCCAAAGAAAAUAUAAUCCUUCUUUUCAUUUAAAAAAAAAAAAAAAAAAACCAUUUUUUUAUAAAAGCAUGUAUACAUAUUUUUUUAAUACCACGCAUUUCUGGCGCGUUGAAAUCACUUGCGUAAUUGAUCAUACGAGACAACAAAACAAAUUUGAAACCAGCCCACAAUACUUGUUUAGAGCAGAAAAUAGAUAGCGUUUCUGUGGCGGGUUGAAAUCACUUGCGUAAUUGAUGAUCAGACGAGACAACCAAAACAAACUUGAAACUAGCCCACAGUUUAGAGCAGAAAAUAGAUAAUCUCGUAAAACAAUCACAUCAAGGGUAUAGCGUCAUCGUUGAUCGUAGCGCAUGAAGUCAUCAUUGAUUAUACUUCUUGUUCAAAGCAAAAAAACAUAAAGCAAUCCAUAGUUUCCUUAUAUAUAUAUAUAUGUAUAUAUUAAAAGUAGCAGAUGAAGUGCAUGGCGGCGGCAGCAUCAUCAUCAUCAUACUUUUUGCUCAAAGCAGAAAAUAGAUAAUCUCACAAAACAAAUAAUCCAUAAUUUCAUCAUAUAUAUAUGAGUAGGGUGCCCAUGGAAUCAUCGUCAUCGAGUGGAUGGGGGGCAGGAGGAAGAAGCGGACGGGGGAACGGGGCCCCGUUCCAUUACAACCGCCUCCUUGUAGCUGCUAUUAACCCUCCGUGCUCCUACGAGAAUCAGCCAGAGAGAGAGUGAGAUGGACAUCCACGUCAUCACUCGCUUCAACACAUUCAUGGUGGAAAGUCGAUGCUAAAAAUACGGCAUAAGCUAGUGUUUAUAUAGACCAAAAAAUGAAAACGGUAACCAUUUCCUGCAUGGAAGGUUUCAGCCGCCGUCCGCCAGUCCUUGAAAAGAUUCUACUUCACUAUCAUUCCAACCCCAGAAACUAUGAUUGGACCACCGCCUUUCACAGAUUAAUUUGAUAUUUGUAAAAGGUCUGAAAUCAGAAAGUUACUGAUAUGGAUGGCACGUCAAUAUCAAUUUCAUCUAAAUUUUUUUUUAAAAAUAAAGGAUUAACUUCAAUCAUAUCCCUUGGAGUCUUGGUUAAAUAUAUCUUACCUCUCAAAAUUUCAACGUACACCCUUAUUUUAUAAAUAAAUAAAUAAAUAAAAAACCAAAGGGAAAUGAGUUUAACCCAAAAAUUCACUUUUUUUUUUUUUUAAAUAGAUAAAAACACUGUUUCUUGCUAUUUGUUUCUGUAAAAAUAAUUUUUUAAAACUCUUCCCUUCUCACUUGUCUACUUGUCUUUCAUUUAUUAUUGGCUCUCUUUAUCAAAUUUUAAGAUUACCAUUUUUUUUUUCUAAACCAUAAUACCAUUUCAAAUUUUUAACCCGACCAUAUUUUUUUCUACAAGCAUAAAUAUGAGAACAAACCAAACCCUCUCCUCCACCUUUAAUGUUAUGGUACAAAAUAAAUAUCUUAUUAACUUAAAUUUUUACGGAAUAAUGUUUUUAGAAAACAUUUCUAAUAUAAAAAUUGUUUUAAGAGAAAAUUUUUAAUUUUGAAAAACACUUUUAAGUUAGUUUUAAAUUUGCUACAUGGAUCAUAAUUGUUAAAAAUAAUUAGCCGUUGAAAGUAAAUUUGGAGAUUAUUAAUUUAGAGGAGAUCAUUAUUUAUAUUUAUUUAAAUUUAUCAUUAUUUAGAGAGGGGUAUUUAAAUCACACGAACCCAAAUUAAGAGUAAAAGGUUAUAUUAUUUAGAGGAUAUUAUUAAUUUAUUGAAUAAUUAUUUAUUUAAACAACAUUAUUUAUUUAUUGAGAUUUUAUGAUAUUAAAAUGGAGAGUUAGAUUACAUAUGACUUUUUGUUGUCACAUGAUUGGUGUAAAAUAAAGCACUUAGAUUUUUAUUCAUAAAUUUAUAAUAUUAAUAAGUUUAUUACUUGAAUUUUAAAUCAUUUUUUAAAAUUAUUAAACUUGAUAAUGAAUUCUUCUUAUUUAAUUUGGAAUUUAUUUAUCUAAUGAAAAAAAAAAAGAAAUAAUAAUUUUAUAUAAAAGAAAAACAAUAAAGUUAUUUUAAGUCAAUUUUUGUUCAUAAACUUAUAGUAUUAAUAAAUUUAUUAUUUAAGUUUUAAAUUAUUUUUAAAAAUUAAUAGAUUUGUUAAAAAAUCCAAUAUUAAGUUUUGUUUAAUUUAGAGUUAAUUUAUUUAAUAAAAUUUUUUUAAAAAAUAAUAAAAUAUAUGUUUUUAUAUUAUUUUUAAAAUUUGGUGAAAAUAAUUUUUACUUACUCUUUAAAACUAAUUCACUAUUUCACUUUAUUUUUAAAAACUAAAAAUAAAGAGUAAUAACUAAAUAGUAUUAUGAAUAUUUAAAAAUUCUUUAUACAGCCAAAAAUGGAUGUGUAGACAUCCACACCCUGUGUUGCUUUCUUGAUUGUGUAUUUGUACAACCAUUUAUACAGCCAAAAAUGGAUGUGUAGACAUCCACACGCUGCGUUGCUUUCUUGAUUGUGUAUUUGUACAGCCAUUUAUACAGCCAACAAUGGAUGUGUAGACUGUUGAAGACUGAUUCAAAGUGGCUGUUGGCAUAUUCCUAUUCUUAUGGUUGAGUUAGUCAAAUAAGGAGCUUGUUGCUAAAAUCGAGUUAGUGGGUGCAGUGGGUCAAGUGUUAGUGGUGUAGUGGGGCAGAUUGUGUCCUCUUUGUUUUUUUUAUAAAUAGACAUGUUUGCUGUAGUGGAAUUAAUGACUGCAAUAAAAUAUCCAGAAACAUUUUCUUUGGUUUGGUGAAGCUCUGUUUUUUAGAGUUAAAGAGCUCUAUUUUUUUCCUUGCUAUUGUUUUGUCUUGUUUUUGCCCAACAAUUUUUGGUAUCAGAGCAACCAAGUUCCUUCUGAACUGGGCGAAUAAUGGCAACAACCAACGGCAGUAUGGUGAGUGUGUCUCAACCAGCAAUUCCCAUUUUCAAAGGUGAGUGCUAUGAGUUUUGGAGCAUCAAAAUGAAGACUUUAUUCAAGUCUCAAGAUCUGUGGGACUUGGUUGAAAAUGGCUAUCCUUAUCCGGACGAAGAAGCUAGGUUGAAAGAAAAUACGAAGAAGGACUCCAAGGCAUUGUUCUUUAUUCAACAGGCUGUACAUGAAUCAAUCUUCUCAAAGAUUGCAGUAGCAACCACAGCAAAAGAGGCGUGGACAACCUUGAAAACUGCAUUUUAGGGUUCCUCUAAAGUGAUCACGGUGAAGCUCCAGUCCUUGCGCCGUGACUUUGAAACCUUGCACAUGAAAAAUGGAGAGUCAGUGCAAGAUUUUUUGUCAAGAGUUGCUGCUAUAGUUAAUCAAAUGAGGUCGUAUGGUGAAGAUAUUCUUGAUCAAACUGUCGUAGCAAAGGUGUUAAGGAGUUUAACGCCUAAGUUUGAUCAUGUAGUUGCAGCCAUUGAGGAGUCUAAGGAUCUGUCAACCUAUUCAUUUGAUGAGCUCAUGGGAUCCUUGCAAUCUCAUGAAGCGAGGCUGUCCAGAACAGAGGAGAAGAACGAAGAAAAGACAUUUUACACGAAGGGGGAGACAUCAGAUCAGAAGAAUGGAGGCAGAGAAGCUACUGGUAGAGGACGUGGCAGAGGAGGUGCUCAUGGAAGAGGUGGUCGUGACAGAGGCCGAGGUGAUGCACAAGGUGACCAAAGGCAGUCAACUGAGAAGAGCAGAAACAAGAGUAAUAUCCAGUGCUACUACUGCAAGCGGUUUGGACAUGUUCAAGCUGAAUGUUGGAAGAAAGAAAGGCAAGAAAAACAAGCUAACUAUGUCGAGCAAGAGGAAGAUCAAGUCAAGUUGUUCAUGGCCUAUAAUGAAGAGGUAGUAUUUUCCAACAAUAUUUGGUUUUUGGAUAGUGGAUGUUCUAACCACAUGACAGGGAUAAAGUCACUCUUUAAGGAGCUGGAUGAAUCACACAAGUUGAAGGUGAAACUUGGUGAUGACAAACAAGUGUAAGUGGAAGGCAAGGGGAUCAUGGCAGUAAACAAUGGUCAUGGUAAUGUAAAACUCCUUUACAAUGUGUACUUUAUUCCUAGUUUGACUCAAAACUUGUUAAGUGUGGGGCAACUUAUGGUUAGUGGAUACUCCAUUUUGUUUGAUGGUGCUACUUGUGUGAUCAAAGAUAAAAAGUCUGAUCAAAUAAUAGUUGAUGUUCGUAUGGCCGCAAACAAGUUGUUUCCUCUUGAAGUGUCAAGUAUAGAAAAGCAUGCUCUUGUUGUUAAAGAGACUAGUGAGUCUAAUCUGUGGCACUUAAGGUAUGGUCAUCUAAAUGUCAAAGGGUUGAAGUUACUAAGUAAAAAGGAAAUGGUGUUUGGACUACCUAAAAUUGACUCGGUGAAUGUGUGUGAGGGCUGUAUUUAUGGGAAACAAAGCAAGAAACCAUUCCCUAAGGGAAGGUCAAGGAGGGCAUCUAGUUGUCUUGAGAUUAUACAUGCUGAUCUAUGUGGUCCUAUGCAAACUGCUUCAUUUGGUGGCAGUAGAUAUUUUUUGUUGUUUACAGAUGAUCAUAGCAGGAUGAGUUGGGUGUAUUUUCUUCAAUCAAAGGCAGAGACUUUUGAGACCUUCAAGAAGUUCAAAGCAUUUGUAGAGAAGCAGAGUGGCAAGUGCAUUAAGGUGCUGCGGACUGACAGAGGUGGAGAGUUCUUAUCAAAUGAUUUUAAAGUGUUUUGUGAAGAGGAAGGCUUGCAUAGAGAGUUGACUACUCCUUAUUCACCAGAGCAAAACGGUGUGGCUGAGAGGAAGAAUAGAACGGUGGUUGAGAUGGCUAGAAGCAUAAUGAAGGCCAAGAACCUUUCAAACCAUUUUUGGACAGAAGGAGUUGUUACAGCUGUAUGGGAGGAAACCUUUUGUAAGCCAUUUAAAGGUUUUUGGUAGUGUUGCCUAUACGUUGAUUGACUCACAUAACCGUAGUAAGCUUGAUGAAAAAUCAGUAAAGUGCAUCUUUAUUGGUUAUUACUCUCAAUCAAAAGGAUAUAAGCUAUAUAACCCUGUUAGUGGUAAGAUAAUUGUUAGCAGAAAUGUGGUGUUUGAUGAAAAAGCUAGCUGGACUUGGCGUGUAAGUGAAGACGGUGCUCUUGUGGAGAUUUCAAGUGAAAGUGAAGUGGCACAGAGUGAAGAUCAGCAGCCUUCUGUUCAGAUUCCAGCAAGUCCAACUUCCUCUCAUUCACCUAGUUCCCCAAAUUUGAGUAGCAUCAGUUCUUCGCAAUCUUCAAAGGAAACCCCUCCAAGGAAAUUCAGAUCUUUAAGGGACAUCUAUGAGACUACACAAGUCUUGUUUGCAGCUGAUCCAACAACCUUUGAAGAAGCAGUGGAGAAGGAAGAAUGGUGCAGUGCUAUGAAAGAAGAGAUAGCUGCCAUUGAGAAGAAUGAGACUUGGGAACUGGUGGAGCUUCUUGAAGACAAGAAUGUGAUAGGUGUUAAAUGGGUUUUCAGAACCAAGUACUUAGCAGAUGGUAGUAUACAAAAGCACAAGGCACAGUUAGUGGCAAAGGGCUAUGCACAGCAACAUGGAGUUGAUUAUGAUGACACCUUCUCACCAAUUGCACUAUUUGAAACAGUAAGGACCUUAUUAGCCUUAGCUGCUCAUAUGCAUUGGUGUGUUUAUCAGUUUGAUGUCAAGUCUGCUUUUCUUAAUGGAGAGCUAGUAGAGGAGGUGUAUGUAUCUCAGCCUGAAGGCUUCAUAGUUCCUGGUAAAGAAGAGCACGUGUAUAGACUAAAGAAGACCCUUUUUGGGUUGAAACAAGCCCCACGAGCAUGGUACAGUAAGAUAGAUUCUUACUUUGUUGAGAAUGGCUUUGAAAGGAGCAAGAGUGAUCCAAAUCUUUACCUAAAAAGGCAAGGUAAAAAUGAUCUUCUUAUUAUUUGUCUUUAUGUAGAUGACAUGAUCUAUAUGGGUUCAUCCUCUUUUCUUAUUAAUGAGUUUAAAGCCUGUAUGAAGAAGAAGUUUGAGAUGUCAGACCUAGGGUUGUUGCAUUUCUUUCUUGGUUUAGAGGUAAAACAAGUAGAGGAUGGAGUCUUUGUUUCAUAAAGAAAGUAUGCUAUUGAUUUGCUUAAGAAGUUCAAUAUGUUAAAUUGCAAAGUAGUAGCUACUCCUAUGAAUUCAAAUGAGAAGUUGCAGGCUGAAGAUGACACUGAAAGAGCUGAUGCUAGGAGGUUUAGAAGUCUGGUUGGAGGCCUCAUUUAUUUGACACAUACACGGCCAGAUAUAGCUUUUGCAGUUGAGGUGAUCUCCAGAUUUAUGCAUUGUCCUUCGAAGCAACAUCUUGGAGCUGCAAAGAGAUUGUUGAGAUACAUUGCUGGAACAUAUGAUUUCGGGAUAUGGUAUGGUCAUGUUCAAGAGUUCAAAUUGGUUGGCUACACUGAUAGUGAUUGGGCAGGGUGCUUAGAGGACAGAAAAAACACUUCAAGCUAUAUGUUUUCUCUUGGGUCAGGUGCAGUCUAUUGGAGUUCAAAGAAGCAAGCAGUGACAGCCUUGUCCUCUUUUGAAGCUGAGUAUACACUGCAACCUCAUCCGCAUGCCAGGCAGUGUGGUUGAGGCGAAUUCUUGCUGAUAUUAGUCAAGAACAUGAGGAGUCAACUAUAAUUUACUGUGACAACAAAGCUGCCAUAGCAAUGACCAAGAAUCCAGCCUACCAUGGAAGGACAAAACAUGUUGAUAUUCGGGUUCAUUUCAUAAGAGAUCUUGUGGUUGAAGGUAAAGUUGUUUUGCAGUAUUGUAACACCAAUGAGCAGGUAGCGGAUGUGCUGACAAAAGCUUUAUCUAGAGACAAACAUGUCUACUUCAAAAGCAAGCUUAGAGUUUGCAACUUUGAAUCAAGGGGGAGUGUUGAAGACUGAUUCAAAGUGGUUGUUGGCAUAUUCCUAUUCUUAUGGUUGAGUUAGUCAAAUAAGGAGCUUGUUGCUAAAAUCGAGUUAGUGGGUGUAGUGGGUCAAGUGUUAGUGGUGUAGUGGGGCAGAUUGUGUCCUCUUUGUUUUUUUAUAAAUAGACAUGUUUGUUGUAGUGGAAUUAAUGAAUGCAAUAAAAUAUCCAGAAGCAUUUUCUUUGGUCUGGUGAAGCUCUGUUUUUUAGAGUUAAAGAGCUCUAUUUUUUUCCUUGCUAUUGUUUUGUCUUGUUUUUGUCCAACAUAGACAUCCACACGCUGCGUUGCUUUCUUGAUUGUGUAUUUGUACAGCCAUUUAUACAGCCAACAAUGGAUGUGUAGACAUCCACACGCUGUGUUGCUUUCUUGAUUGUGUAUUUGUCUUUGUAUGCUUGUCUGUUUUUCCUGGUUUGAUACAGCUGACAAGAAUCCACUUCUUUUUUAUUUUUGUAAGUUUAAAGUAUUUCAUAGUAACCCAACUUUGUAAUUUUUUAGGUUUGAAGUGGGUUUUAACGUGUUGAUUUGAAAAAAAGUUUGUGUUCUGUUAAAGUUGUACGGUUUGAAACCUAUACUGAUUGAUAAUACAACCAAAAAUGGGGUAGAUGUGAACCAAAAAUGGGUACGGUUGGAUAGAGAUGUAAUUUCAUCCACAUUUCUCAUCUAAGCCCAAUCCAAAUUUAAAUACCCCAAGUUGGAUUAGAACUGCAAUUCCUAAUUUUGACUUGGAUUUGAAUUUAACCAGCCCAAUUUGCCUCUCAGGGAGGGCUUUAAGCCAUGGCCAGGGGGCUUUAGAAUCUUUGAAACCAUAACCAAAUUCAAUUAACUGAACCCAUAUAUUUUGUUAUACUCAAUUCUGCCUGCUCUUAAGGAACUAACCUGUUUCAUCCAAUCAACUUAAACAUAACUCACUAAGAUGAGUUUAAUUUGAUUUCUUUCAGGGUGUUGAUGCUAGAAACUUACCAACCUAUUUCAAGGUGUCUUUUGCCGUUUCAGGCUGUUGAUAUUGCAGACCCUAAAUCUAUUAUUGUGAGUAGAGUUUGUUAGGUGCAACCGUGCAACAAUGUUGUUCUUAAAACAUUGGUGGAAGGACUUUUGAUAAGAGUACGGUAAUUUCAAAAAAAAAAAAUCUUAAAUUAUCAUAGUAGAAAAAAUAAUUCUAAAUUUACGGCAAUUUUUACCAGGUAGGAGAGAAGGAGAGUUGUUUUUUUUAUCAACUUGAAAAUUGUCUUUUGAAAAGACGAUUUCCACCAAAACAAAUAUAAAAAAAAAUUAAUCCCUCAAAAAUCGUCUUUUAAAAAGACGAUUUCCACCUAACAAACAUACAAAAAAAAAUUAACUACUCAAAUCGUCUUUUGAGAAAACGAUUUCCACCAAAACAAAUAUAUAUAUAUAUAUAUAUAUAUAUAUAUAUAAAUUAAUCUUUAAAAAAAAUUAGUUCGUCUCUUGAAGAUACCAUUUCCCUAAAAAAUAUUUAAGUGUAAAUCUUCUCUUAAAGAGACGAUUUCCAAAAAAAAAAAAAAAUUACUACCCUAGGAAAUCAUUUCUUCACCACCCAAAUUUCAAACUUUUAUAUAUUUUAAUUUUUUUAAUUAUGUUAAAUCAGAUAACAUUUUAGUUUUAUUUCUACUUUUAUUUUUAUUUUUAUAUCUCAUUGUUUUUACAACAUAAUUUUCAAUUAUUUCUAUUUUUUAAAUUUUAAUAUUUUUUAAAUCAUAUAUUAUGAAAAAUAUAUAGAAAUAUAAUUAUUCUAUUAUUAUUAUUUUUCAUUCUCAUUUUACUAAUAUUUUAUUUUAUUUUUAAAUUUAAAUUUUAAUAUUUUAUAAAACAUAUUAUUUGAUUGAUAAACAUAAACAAUAAUCCUAUUAUUUCAUAUUAAUUAAAUAAACUAAUAUCAUUUUUAUUUUUUGAAUGAUUUAAUUCAUUUAUCUUUAUAUAAUGAUAAUUUACAACAAAUAAUAUUCUAACAAAAUUACCAUAAAUCCAAUAAAUUUAAAAAAUACAAAUAACAACAAAUAUCUAUCAUGUAUUACACAAUAAAUAUGAAAUAAAGGCAAAAAUAUUACCAAUGAAUAAAAUAAUAUAUCUUUUAUUUUUUUGAAUGAUUUAAUCUAUUUAAAAUAAUAAUUUCCAAUAAAUAUUAUUCAAACAAAUAUUACAUAAUCCAAAUAAAUUUAAAAACUUAUAUAAUAAUAAAAACUAUAUAUUAUAAAAUAACUUAAAAUAAAAAUAAAGUAAAAAUAUUACCUUAUAAGUAGCGUGUUGAAAAAAAUAGAUGAGAUAUGCUAAGAUGGAAGUGAUGGAAGGUGAAAAACUAAUAAGUGCAUGCAAUAGGUAAGAUUCUCAUAUACCUAUGGGCUAGCUAUGAGAGGGUAGUAAACGGUCUUCAAAUUUGUGUGAAGUAUAAUAGGUUAUAAGAGAUAUGACAACACAUGAAAUUUUAACUUAAAAGAUUAAUAUUUUUAACCUUAAAAUUUAUAUAAUAUAAUUAAUUUAAAAAUUAAAACAAAACAAAAUUAUUUAUUUUGUAAAUAAUUUUUUUAAACUCAUUUUAUCAUAUAAAUUUGAUAAUAACUUUUUUUAAUUGCAAAGUGAAAGAAAGAAAAAAACAAUAGAUAAAUAUUAUUUAUUUUGUAUUAAAUUUAGUAAAUUAAAUUAAUUAAUUUUAUAAUAUAUAUUUAUAAUAAUUAUAAGAGUAUAAUUUAUUUUUAAAUUUUAAAAUGGAUUUAUAAUAUAUUUUUAUAUUAAGUUGUAUUAUUUGUUUUUAUAAUAUGGAGAUAAUUAAAGAUAUUAAAAUAUAUAAAAAUUUGAAAUUUGGGUGGUGAAGAGAUGACUUCUUGGGGUAGCAAUUUUUUUUUCUAGGAAGAGACGAUUUCAAAUUAAUUUUUUUUUAAAUAAUACUUUUUUUUUUGGAAAUCAUCUUUUGAAAAGACGAUUUUUGAGUGGUUAAUUUUUAAUAUAUAUAUUUGUUUUGAUGAAAAUCGUUUUCUCAAAAAAUGAUUUUUGAGUGGUUAAUUUUUUUAUAUGUUUGUUAGGGUGGAAAUUGUCUUUCCAAAACACGAUUUUUGAGGAAUUUUUUAUUUUUUUAUAUUUGUUUUUGUGGAAAUCAUUUUUUCAAAAGACGAUUUCCAAGUUGACAAAAAACAACAACUCUCCUUCUCUUUUACCUGACAUAGAUUUAGAAUUAUUUUUCCUAUUAUAGUAAUUUAAUAAUAUUUUUUUUAAUUACCAUAGUCUUAUCAAAAGUCCCCUCGGCGGGAUGGAUCAUCCGAUAGAAGGCUCGUGAUGUUUCACCUACCCUAACACCAAUUAGUUUCCAGAUAGAGUGGUCAAAAUCUGAUCCAAGAGAAUUCAAACUUGAAAAAAAAUUCCCAAACUUGAAAUUUGUAUUAACUCCCAAGAAUGAAAUUAUUCUCUCCUAUUUUCUUAAGUUGGAUGUCAUUCAUUUCACGAGGAGCAAAUGGCACAAUCUGUGGGCUUUGUUGGUAUUCUUUUACCCCUAAAUAAUGAUAAAGUUUAAAGAGUUUCUCAUUAUGAUCUAGUAUGGGAGCUGACUGCUUCUUUGGAUCAGGAUUAAGGGUUGGUGGGAUAAUUAUCUCACUUUUGAUAAUAGGAAUAGUAUCCUUAAAGCCUAUAGGAUUAAUGAGAGUAAUGAAGCUGUUAAGGACGAAGAUGGCCAAGAUAUUGAGGAUGCAGUGGCUACUUUAAUCUACUCAAUAUCCAAGCACUUCAUUGGAGAUCCUACAAAAAUUAAGGAUAAAACUGCAGAUCUCUUAACCAACCUUAAGUGUCCCAAGCUUCAUGAUUUUAGGUGGUAUAAGGAAGUCUUCCUAACCAAAGUCAUGCUAAGAUCAGAUUGUAACCAGUCUUUUUGGAAAGAAAAAUUCAUCUCAGGUUUACCCAAGCUUUUCUCUGAGAGAAUUAGGAUCAAGAUAAGGGAACAGUAUAAUGGUCAAAUCCCUUAUGAUAAGUUAACCUAUGGUGAGAUUAUAAGCAUUGUCAUAGCUGAAUGGAUUAAGUUGUGCAAUGACUUCAAGCUUAAGCAACAAAUGAAGAAUGAACAAAAAAUCUACAAGAAUGAAUUUGGAUCAUUCUGUAGCCAGUUUGGUUUCAGCCAAAAAGAAACUAUGCCUCCCUCUAAGCAAAAACCAAGUAGGAAGCCUAGCAAAGAUAAGUUUUACCACAGUAAGAGAGGUACCCAUGACAACUAUAGGAUGAAUGAUACUAAGCAUUCAAGGCACGUCCAAAGAAGGGUCAACAAAGAUACCCAGAAAAAGGUAGAAACUCCUUUAGAUGUCAAGCCAUUCAUCUGUUUUAAAUGUGGCAAAGUUGGCCAUUAUAAAAAAGAUUGUAGAGUUAAGCAAAAUAUUAAUAACUUAAGUGUCUCAAAUGACUUAAAAAAUAUGUUUUGUAAGGUAAUGUUAAACUCAGAUUCUGAAUCAAGGACUGAUUCAGAUAAUGAAGAUGACAUUAAUCAACUAGACAGUAGUGGUGAAGUUUCCAGCCAAUCUUCUAGUGACCAAGCAGAAUACAUUAAAGGUAAUUGUAAUUGUCGUCCUAAAACUAUAAAUGUCAUAAGCCAAGAUCAGGAAUUUAUCCUAGAUACUUUAAGAAAAGUUGAAGAUGAAAAGACUAAGCAAAAUCUUUAUGAAGUUUUUAAGAAAUCUGUUGUCAAAGUAGAAGCCAAGAAGACUGUUAAUCCUUAUAACCUUAAUGAUAUCUUAAAUAGGUUUGACCAGCAGUUUCCCAAAGAAGUCAGCAUUAAGGAACUUCAUGAAGAAGUUAAGCAGCAUAAGAAGGAGAUUAAAGAGUUAAGACAAUUCAUAAGUUUAGGUCUCUCUGAUCUCCAAGAUCAAAUCAAUAGAAUUGUCAACCAAGGAAACCUUAUGGAUAUUCCAGAAUCUUCUCAUGUUAAUGAUAAUGAGACAGAUAUUUUUUUGAAUACUGUGAGUAAGGUUAUCUUCCAGAGGUGGGAAGUCUCCCUUACUAUAGUAGUCAAAGAUAAAUUUGUCUUUGAUAUUAUUGCUUUGAUUGAUUCAGGAGCAGCUGAAAAUUGCCUUCAAGAAGGUCUUGUACCUAUUCCGUUAUGCGAAGAGACUAGUCAGUCUCUAUUUGGAGCCAAUGGCAAAAGACUUGCCAUUAAGUAUAAGUUAACAGAUGUUCAUAUUCAUAACCAUGACAUCUGUAUUAAACAAACCUUUAUCCUUGUUAAGGAUCUUAAUGAAAAAGCCCUUCUAGGAAUACCCUUCUUAAGCUCUAUUUAUCCCUUGUGGGUAGAUAACCAAGGUAUAAGAACAAAGCUUUUUGAUAAGGAAAUUAUUUUUUAAUUUGCUAAUCCUGUUGAAAACGUCACUCGUUGUGAUCAAGAAAUUAAUCUUGUUAGAAUAGAUGAUCCACCUAAGAUAUUAGGUACCCAAUUCAUUCAUAAUCUCAUUAUAAAUGAUAUUUUAAGCAUUCCUUUAUGCAUUUCAAAAUUUCAAACUGAUAUUUUGAACCAAGGAAUUUUAAAAGUUGUUUUCACAUCUGAGAAAACAAUUAAGUAUAUAGCUUUUAAGUAUAAUUUAAUUAAUUGGAUUAUUUUAAACCCUAAUUUUCAAAUCAAAAUUAUUAAAGGAGAAAGUUCCAUUCCUAAUCACUCAACUCAUGAAAUUUGCAGGGUUCACGAGACCAUGGCCCCUAAAAAGAAUACCCAAGCUCCUAGCCAGAAAACCCAACCCAUUCAAGCUCCUUCUCCCCAUAAAAUGCUAUGGAGCCAACAAGUUGAAGAAGAAGAAGCAAGGCUUCAUUCUUCUAAACCUAUACCUAACAAGAUGAUGACCUUGUACUAUGAUCAUUCCGAUCCAGCUAAUCCAGUCAAGGCCACUCAGUAUCCAGCCAUUUCAGGGUCUCAGACCUUCAAGCAAGUCAUUAAGGCUAAUCCCUCUCAAAAGGAAUUAGCAUCAAGCUCCUCUUUUUCAAACAAGCAAAUUGUGGUGGAUGCCAACCCCACACAUUUUUCAACAAAAUCAAGAUAUGGCAAAAUUAUUUAAAUCAACCUCUUUUGGUUAUAGAAAGAGAAUUUUUCUCUGAAAACCCCAGAGAAAUUGCUGCAAAAGCUUUUCAAAAAAAUUUUCAUUAUCCCUCUGGUGAUAUUUUAAGAAUAAGAGAGUUUUAUGAAGCAGUCCUUACAGAAACUGGUUUUGUUAAAAUUAAGCAUAAUGCAGACAAAUUCAGCAAUAUGGGUUUGGCAUUCUCCACUUGCCAUAUCUAUAAGAUUCUUACUGUCAAGCAAUGGGGAGGAAAUCCUAAUCUUUCAAGGGAAUUUUCUGAACCAUCAAAGCCAAGGUUUUUUAAUUAUUGGGAUUAUCAGAGAGCAUGGUUUAAUGUUUUUCUGAUCCAGAAUAGGGACUUCCAUCAUUCAUGGAUGUUCUAUUUUCCAUCUAAGAAUCAACUUUUCUCUUUCCCAUUUUGGUUCUACAAUUGGUGGAAUUAUUAUGGUCCGACUAUUAAGAUUCUUCCCAAGCCCAUCCUGGAUGGCUUUGAGCUAUUCAGAAGUUCUUUUAAUAUCCCCAGAGAACUUUCAGCUUUUCCCCCUUUACUAUUCUUCUUCAGCAAAUUUGGCCUUACUUGGAUAGUCCAGUGGGACUAUAUUAUCAUUACAGAUGAAUCAACAGCCUUUCCAUCGCUGGGAAGGACCUUUAAAACAAAAUGGUGGGAUGCCUUAAAAAAUGAUGCAUCUAUUGAUACAGUUAAGCAGUAUUUCCUCCAGAACCCCACACAAGUCUCAGCCAGUGAUGAUAUGUCUUAGUUUUUCCUUAAAAAGCAACAGUUACAAGCCAUGCUCGCAGCUGCUAAGACCCCUCAAGAUUUCCAGAAAAUCCUUGAAGAAGGAAGCUCAAGUUUCUCCCAAGAAAAUUCUUAUGCAGAGUCUGAUGAUUCAACAAGCUACUUUUCAGACAAUGGUGAUGACUGUGAAGGAAUCCUUUCUCCAAUAAGAAGAUCUAAGUAAUCAUUAGCCUUUUGUCUUCCAUCAAGAAUAUUUUACAAGUCUUGCAGUUUCUGUUCCAAAAGCAGCAAGCAUGUGACUACAUAGUAUAUAGCAGCCUGCUAGAAGUCUUCUCAGCCGAAAGAGGGUUUUUCAGAGGAUUUCGGUAUAAAAAUGAAUCUUACUAUUCACUAUUCACUAUUCACUAUUCAAGCACGAGUCUACUGUUCAUGGUUACUAUUCAAGAUUCCUUUUUUGCCUAUUUAAGGAGGCUCGGUCCUCAUUUGUAAAAACACUUAAAUUUUCUCUCCCAAGCUUAUGCUCUCCCUUCUCUCUUCUUUCUCUCUCAUCAUGUAACCCCUUCAAGCUUUCAAGCUUUCUUCAAGCUUUCCUACCCCUGCCCAUUGUAAGAUAUUUCUCCUUAUAUAUAAUAUAAGUAUGUUUUGAUUACCUCCUAUAUGGAUGGUUUUUAAUUAAGUUUUGUUUUUCAUUUUAUUUUAUGUUCUUGUACUGCCUAUAUGGUCGGUUUUAAUUAAGCUUUGUUUUUAAGUUUAUGUUUUUAUUUUGUACCGCCUACAUGGUCGGUUUUAAGCUUAUUAUGAACUAACAAGUUUUUGGUUCCUUCUCUUUAAAUUUCUUGUUGGAUAUCUUUUGUAUCAUCUAACCCUCUUCUUUGUUUUGAAUCAUGGCAUAAUUCCUGUUUUCAUUGCAUAUGACCUUGUCCUGGGUGUCUAUGGUAUCAGAGCCAUGUGGGAGGGAAGUUGGGUCUUGUUUUGGGUGUUCUUGGCCUAUCCUAGGAUAGGUCGCAAUGUGCCUGGGAGCGCGAGCCCUGCCGGUUGAGCCGUUGUUAGCCGUGGAUAGGCGUUUGUUAGGCUGUAAGAGGGUUGGGGUGACGUCUCAUAAGGUUUGUCAAUAUGCUAUUAGGCUCUAGUUCAAAAACCCUAAAAUGAGCUCAAUUUUCAGAACCAUGUCUAGGAGAUCCAGUGAUUCUCAAGAUACUGUUGUAAACAGUGAACAAAUCAAUUAUCCUAAGAUCCAAAAUGAUUUAGAUGAUUGGAAGUUACCCAAGGUGUCUAAUCAAGAAAUUUAUAAGAAAUGAACCUUUAAGUUCUUCACAGAUUACACCAUUAAGACCUCUAAAAUGUCAGUCAGCUUAGAACAAGACGACCAAGUCAUAAGACUUCUAGAUAACAGAUCCAUUGAUAAGCAUAAGAAAGAUGGCUAUAAUUUCAUACACUUUGGUAUGAUUCAAGUAACUGCUAAGCCUUUGACAAGAUUAGGUUUAAACACCUCUAUUGUCAUGUGUUUUAGGGAUAAUAGGCAGUUCGAAUAUCGAGAUUCUAUUAUAGGCGCAGUCCAAGCUGGACUGAAUGAUGGCCCAGUUUAUUUCCAGUGCUUAUCCUAACUUCAUAGUUAGAAUAAGAGAUGCAGACAUCCUAUAUUCCGUUGUCCUGCAUAUUAAGACCCAUGACUUUAAGAUCAAACGAGGAAACAGUCCUAUUUCAAUCAUAACCAGGUUUGCCUAUAAGAGCAUGAAUACAAGCGUUGGAUCUGGGCCUCUUUGCACCAGUCCUAAAGGUGAGACUACUUACUUUCACUCAGAUAUGCUAGAUAAGUCAGAUUUCAUCAUCCCCAAGAAGAUCUUGUGGAAAGAUGUUGAGUUCCCUGAAAAUUGGCAUUUUGCUAAUGCUGUUCCAGCCAUAGCACAGCGUUCUGAAAGUAUUGAACAAAUUGUUCAAUAUCCUGAUGGAGGAGGAGAACUGGUUUUCUCCAACUCUUUCAGACAUUCCAGCAGCCCUAGAGUUUCUGUUUAUGAACCAUCUAGAGCUUCAAGCUCUUCCAUCACAGUUAGAACCACUAGGGAAGAAUAAGGAUCCAACUCAGGAAAUCCUAAGAACAUUAAGCUAACAGGUGUUAGAAGUCACACCAACGUGGCUAGACCAUUUUACUCAGAGGAAAAUGAGUCUACUCAGGAUGAGUCUCCUGUUAUGUCUCCUACCUAUUCCUAGAUGAUUAACACAAUAAGCCUAAGUGAUGAGGACUUUGAGAUCAACAAGGAUCUCUUAAGAAAGGACUUCUAUUCUGAAGUCAAUAAGCAAAGAAAUGAUUGGUUCUUUAGCACUGUCCCUAAGGUCAUUAGAACCAUUUACCAAGAAGAAUUCUAUGCCUACUUAAGACAAGAAAAGAAAAAUAUUAAGUUUUGGAUUUGGUUUGAACUCUUCAAAACAAGAGGAAUAUCCAGAUUAUCCUUGUAAGCGUAUUAACAACACCUCUACAAAAGCUAAGAUAUGGAAAACCAGUGAUAACAUUGUUAUAGAAUUCAUUCAUCCUCCGAAAGCUAAGAUAGAAAAGAAUAUUAAUGGAACCAUAGUCACAGCUUCACCUUUUAAGACUAAGCCAGAGGAUAAAGGAACUGCUAGUGCGUCCGAUAUUAGAAGAAUUAUGGAACAAAUCAAUUAUACUAAUAUGUUUCUCAUAACCCUUGGAAAUCAAGUCAACAGAGUUGAGGAGAUUAUUGAAACUCAGGAUCACCUUAAGAAGCCUUUUGUUAAGAAUGAUAAUAAGCCUUUGUUUAAGCCUUUUGAAUUAUCUAAGAAAUUCCAAGAAAAUCCUCAAAUUGAUCAAGCUUUCAUUGAUAGAAUAAGCCAAAAGGUUAAAGAUAAUCUUGUUAUCCCUGAAACACCUCAAACUUUUGCUAUCCAUGAAACACCUCUACCUUCCCAUAGGAGAAUCCUUUUGGUUAAAAGGAAUAUUAAUCCAAAAGUAAAGGAUAAUGGACUAAUUAGGUUAACCAGAGAAUCUUCUAUCCAAAACCCUUUUAAGGAUCAUAGUGAUAAACAAGAGAUUAUCCUUAAUACCCUAACUAUUAAAGAUCUUCAAGAAGAAAUAGGGCAAUAUAGGAAGGAUAUUGAGAACCUAAGACAACCUACAAGCACAGAAUCCCAUAUCCCUCAUGAUUAUAUCAAUAUGAUAGGUUUUUACCACAGUAGUCUUAAAAAGGAAGACUUUGAAGAAGUUCUUGAAUCUUCACAAGACAAUAGUGAUAAGAUAAAUGCAUACUUAAAUACUAUUAGUAAAGUUAUCUUCCAAAGGUGGGAAGUCUCCCUUACUAUAGUAAUUAAGAAUAAAUUUAUCCUUGAUAUUAUUGCUUUAAUAGAUUCAGGUGCAGCUUUGAAUUGUCUACAAGAAGGUCUUGUACCUACCCAACUUUAUGAGAAAACCAGGCAAGCCCUUUUUGGUGCUAAUGGUAAAAAGCUUAUUAUCAAGUACAAGCUAUCGAAUGCCCAUAUUUGUAACCAAGGCAUUUGCAUUAAGCAAACCUUCAUCCUUGUUAAAUUCCCAUGUGGGUAGAUGAUCAAGGUAUAAGAACUAAGCUUUUAGAUAAGGAAAUUCUGUUUGAAUUUGCCAAUCCACCUAGAGAAAGAAGUAUAAACACCAUAAAAGAUCAGGUGAUUAAGGCUAAGCAAAACCAUAUUAAUCUCUUAAAGUAAGAGAUUGCUUUGGUUAGAAUAGAAGAUCAAUUGAAGGUUAAGAAAACUUAAGAUACCAUAGAAAAUUUUAAGAAUAAAAUUAUUAGGGAAGUAUGUUCUAACAUUCCUAAUGCUUUUUGGCACAUGAAGCAGCAUGAGGUAGAAUUACCUUAUGAGCCUGAUUUUAGUGAGAAAAAUAUUCCCACUAAAGUAAGACCAAUCCAAAUGAACAAGGAUUUGUUAAGCUAUUGUGAAAAAGAAAUCCAAGAUCUCAUAGAUAAGAAGUUGAUAAGGAAGUCUAAAUCCCCUUGGAGUUGUUCAACCUUUUAUGUUCAGAAACAAGUUGAACUAGAAAGAGGAACACCUAGACUAGUCAUCAACUAUAAGCCCCUCAAUGAUGUUUUAAGAUGGAUCAGGUAUCCUAUCCCAAAUAAAAAAGACCUCCUUCAAAGAUUAGUGAAGUCCAAAGUUUUCUCUAAGUUUGACAUGAAAUCAGGAUUUUGGCAAAUCCAGAUUGCGGAAAAAGAUAGGUACAAAACAGCCUUUGUGGUCCCAUUUGAUCAUUAUGAGUGGAAUGUAAUGUCAUUUAGCCUUAAGAAUGCACCUUCUGAGUUUCAAAACAUAAUGAAUGAAAUCUUUAACCAGUUUUCUGAUUUCAUUAUUGUUUACAUUGAUGAUGUUUUGAUUUACUCAAAUUUUGUUGAGCAGCAUUGGAAACAUCUCAAUAAGUUUGUUGAGACUGUUAAGAGCAAUGGUUUAAGUUUGUCAGCCACUAAGAUUAACCUCUUUCAAAUUAAAGUAAGAUUCCUAGGUCAUCAUAUUCACCAAGGAACAUUCACCCCCAUUCAAAGAUCAAUUGAGUUUGCUGAUAAGUUCCCUGAUGAGAUUAAGGAUAAGAAACAAUUGCAACGUUUCUUAAGAAGCCUUAAUUAUGUGUCAGAUUUCAUACAAGAUUUAAGCCAAUUAUGUGCCCCUUUAAGACAAAGACUUAAGAAAAAUCCAGUUCCUUGGAAUGAGGAUCAUACCAAGAUUGUUAAAAUAGUAAAGUCUAGAGUCAAAACCUUACCAUGUCUCGCCUUAGCUGAUCAUAAAGCCUUUAAGAUUGUUGAGACUGAUGCUUCUGACAUAGGUUUUGGUGGAAUUCUUAAGCAAAGAAGUAAUAAUCAAGAAUUGUUGGUUAGAUUCACCUCUGGAACUUGGAACCAUGCCCAACUCAACUACAGCACCAUCAAAAAGGAAAUUUUAAGCAUCGUUUUAUGCAUUUCAAAAUUUCAAGACGAUCUUUUGAAUCAGGAAUUUUUAUAUAAGAGUAGAUUGCAAAUCUGCAAAAUCAGUUUUACAAAAGGAUGUUAAAAAUAUAGCUUCUAAACAUAUUUUUGCUAGAUGGCAAGCUAUUUUAAGCAAUUUUGAAGAGACGAGUUCCCUUGAAGAAAUUCCUUUUUUUUUUUUUUUUAAUUUGGGAAUUUUAAAAUAUAUAUAUAUAUAUUUAAAAAAUAUUUUUUUUCCAUGGGAACUCGUCUCUUGAAGAGACGAGUUCCCUUGAAGAAUUGUUUUAUAUAUAUAUAUAUAUAUUUUUUUUUUUAAAAAAAAAUUUUCCCAUGGGAACUCGUCUCUUCAAGAGAUGAGUUCCCUUAAGUUCUUUUUUUUUUUUUUUUUUUUUAAAUUUGGGAAUUUAUUUUUUUUCCAUGGAAACUCGUCUCUUGAAGAGACGAGUUCCCUUGAGGAAUUGUUUUUUUUUAAAAAAAAAAAAUUUGGGAAUUGUUUUUUUUAAAUAAAAAAUAUAUUUUUAAAAAAAUAUAUUUUUUUUCCAUCGGAAUUGAGGAAUUGCUUUUUUUUUUUUUUUUUUUUUUAGUAAUUUGGGAAUUUUUAAAUAUAUAUAUAUAUAUAUAUAUAGAGACGAGUUCCCUGAGGAAUUUUUUUUUUUAAUUUGCGAAUUUUUUAAAAAGAAAAUGUAUUUUUUUCCAUGGGAACUCGUCUCUUGCAAGAGACGAGUUCCCUUGAGGAGUUGUUUUUUUUUUUUUUUAAUAAUUUGGGAAUUUAAAAAAAAAAAAAUUUCAUUGGUUCCAUUGAGGAAUUGUUUUUUUUUUUUUUUUAAAUUUGGGAAUUUUUAAAAUAUAUAUAUAUAUAUAUAUAUAUAUAUAUAUAUAUGUUUUUUUUUUUUUUUUCUUAGGAACUCGUCCCUUGAAUAAACAAGUUUCCUUGAGGAAUUGUUUUUUUUUUGAGGAAUUUUUUUUUUUUUUUUUUAAGGGGGUUAUAAAAAAAAAAAAAAAAAUAAAAAUAUUUCCCGGGGAAACCCUCCCUUGAAAAAAAAAAUCCCCUUAAACAACGGUUUUUUUUUUUUUUUUUUUUUUUUUUUUUUUUUUAAAAAAGGGGGAAAUUUUUUAAAAAAAAUUAUUUUUUUUCGGGGGCCCGUCCCCCCAAAAAAAAAAGCCCCCAAAAGAAAAUUAUAUUUAAAUUUUUUUUUAAAAAAUUUUUUUUAUUGGGGGAAUUUUUUUUAAANNNNNNNNNNNNNNNNNNNNNNNNNNNNNNNNNNNNNNNNNNNNNNNNNNNNNNNNNNNNNNNNNNNNNNNNNNNNNNNNNNNNNNNNNNNNNNNNNNNNGGGGGGGGGUUCCCGGGGGAAUUUUUUUUUUUAUUUUGGAAAUUUUUUAAAAAAAAAAUUUUUUUUUUUCCUGGGGAAUUUUUUUUUUCAAAAGAAGGGUUUCCCUGGGGGGGUGUUUUUUUUUUUUUUUUAUAAUUUGGGGAAUUAAAAAAAAAAAAAUUUCCUUGGUUCCCCUGGGGAAAUUUUUUUUUUUUUUUUUUAAAUUUGGGAAUUUUUUAAAAAUAUAUAUAUAUAUAUAUAUAUAUAUAUAUAUAUGUUUUUUUUUUUUUUUUUUUAGGAACUCGUUUCUUGAAUAGACGAGUUUCCCUGAGGAAUUGUUUUUUUUUUGAGGAAUUUUUUUUUUUUUUUUUUAAUGUGGUUAUAUAUAUAUAUAUAUAUAUAUAUAUAUUUCCAUGGGAACUCGUCUCUUGAAGAGACGAGUUCCCUUGAGCAACUGUUUUUUUUUUUUUUUUUUUUUUUUUUUUUUUUUUUUAUAAUUUGGGAAUUUUUUUAAAUAUAUAUAUAUAUUUCAUGGAGCUCGUCUCUUCAAGAGACGAGUUCCCUAGAGGAAUUGUUAUUNNNNNNNNNNNNNNNNNNNNNNNNNNNNNNNNNNNNNNNNNNNNNNNNNNNNNNNNNNNNNNNNNNNNNNNNNNNNNNNNNNNNNNNNNNNNNNNNNNNNGGAAUUUUUUUUUUUUUAAGGAAUUUUUUUUUUUUUUUUUAAAGGGGGUUUAAAAAUAAAAAAAAAAAAAAAUAUAUUUCCCAGGGGACUCCUUUUUUGGAGGGGCGGGGUUCCCUGGGCAACCGGUUUUUUUUUUUUUUUUUUUUUUUUUUUUUUUUUUUAUAAUUUGGGAAUUUUUUUAAAUAUAUAUAUAUAUUUCAUGGAGCUCGUCUCUUCAAGAGACGAGUUCCCUAGAGGAAUUGUUAUUUUAUUUUAUUUUUUUAAUUAUUUUUUUUAAUUUGGGAAUUUUUUUAUAAAAAAUAUAUAUAUUUUUUUUUUCAGGGAACUCGUCUCUUCAAGAGACGAGUUCCAUUGAGUAAAUGGGGAAUUUUUUUAAAAAUAUAUAUAUAUUUUUUUCAUGGAACUCGUCUCUUGAAGAGACGAGUUCCCUUUGUUUGAAAAGACGCCUUUUGAAAUUUGAAAAGAUGAUUUUGGUUUUAAAAAAAUUUAUCCGUUCACCCUCUCUCCUAUCUCCUCUCUCUUAUGUGGCAAAAACUACCAUAUAUUUGUAAUAACUUUUUCUACUACAAUAAUUUAAGCAUAAUUUUUUUAAAUUACCGUACUAUUGAGAAAAGUCCUAUAUACUAGGCCCAGGAAUAUGACUUCAGCCUUAGUUUAGGGAUAAUCUUUUUACAUAUUUCAUCAUUUUUGAAAGGAUUCAGACCUUUCUUUACCUUAGGAAAGGAGCACGUAAGAAAGUGAUGUUUGUUUUUUUACUUAAUUUUAAAUAGAACCUUAAUGCUUAAUAGUGUUGAAUAUUAAAUUGUUUUUAUAGAAUUUUAUUUUUAUGUAAAGAAAAACCAAUAUGUUAAUUUUUUUAUUUAGAAAAAGUUACAUAUUUUAGUUUUUUUUAAUAAAAAAUUUAUAAUAAGUUAUGAAAAAUAAAAAACCAAAUAACCUAAAUUUUAAAAACAAAUUAUUUUUAAUAAAAAACUAAAAAAAAUAUGGGACCAAAAAUACCAUGAAUGACCCAUCUAGCAGCAACAUACAAACAAGAGAUAAUGAGAGUAUAGAUUGCUCCUGGGCUUGAGAAAUAUUGUCUGUCAAUAUUCCAUUUAACAAAAUUAAGAGAAUUAUUAAAUAUACCGAUUUACCAAAAGUGGGUUAUAAUACCUUGAUUUGGAAAUAAAUAUAAAAUAGGAAGUCAUCUUUUAAUAAUCCAAAAUUCAUAAUAUCAUUUCAAAAUAUUUCAUAUUGGAUGCCCUAAGAGCUUAUGUGUCUUUAAGUUUCAAUAAUACCCUCCCUAACAAUAGUCUGACAAAAGGAAUUACAAAAGGUAAGUGAAUGAAUGGAAAUGGAGUUUUUUUCCUCAGGAAAAAGAUAAAGAAAUGAUGGGAACGUGGGAGAGUGGACCUGAGAAAAUGCCAUGAGAAUCAGAAGUUCUGAAAAUUGUAAUCGAUGAUCGGGUACUCAAUUCAAGAGAUUUCAUCGAACACAUCUCUCUCAGCUCCACUACAGAGAGGUCCUCGUGCACGUUUUACAUUAAGAGUUCUCUUCUAAAAGGUAAAUCAACGUCGUUUGCAUUUUCUGACUGUUUUUGUUUUCUUCUAAUUUUUGUCUUUAUUUCUCCUCCGUCAAUCCCACAUUCCCAAGAAAAAGAUUAAACAAUAAUCCUCACUAAUUGCCAAGAAAAAAAUAAAAUAAGACAUUGAUUUCAUAAAGAAAAAGAAACAUAUCAAGACCAAUUAUGGGUUAAAGGGUAAAAUUAAUGUUCCAGAUUUCCGCUUACUUCUGUCACUCUCCCAGCAACCAAACAGAAAUCCCAAAAACCCAUAACACAAAUUGUGAAAUAAAAAUUAAAAAAAAACAUUGGCCAAGAAACAAUAGCAAGAGCGUCACCGACAAUUAGGGUAAAAAUCAGACCAAAUCCAGAACGAAACAAACCGGAAAAGAUUAGAAAAAUUCUAGGGAAUUAAGGAACUGGAAAGGGGCAAGCAACCCAGAAAAUGAAAGGAAUUACUUAAAGGCAGUAGAAAAAACGAAAAGGAUCUCAACCUCAGUAACGGAAAAAACAUAACAAAAGAGGAAAAACAAAAUCCUUUCAAGAAAAUUUUGACUAUUAUUUUCUAGAGAACCCAAGAGAGAGAGAGAGAGAGAGAGCGCUUACCUAGGUUCCGGGUUUUUCAGAGUGAGGUGAGAGCCAUUGUCGGCGCCAGUGGAAACCAGAGCGGAGAGGACGAAGGUUACCUCUUAUUUUCUUUUUCUUGAUCAAUUUUUCAUUUUUUUUCUGAUACGAAAAAAGGAAAAAAAAAUUAGUGGGCGGAGAUGGCGGCCAUAUCCGAUUCCACCGUCCUUCACAAAUCGUAUGGAAAAAAAAAGAAGAAAAAAAGAUAAAUUACAACAGAAAUUCGAAGCUCAAGGCCUGCAAAAUUGCAGAUCUAGAAACGUGGAUCUCAACUUUCGUACAGAAGGUACAAAUCAACCAAAAGAGAAUAACAGAGAAAAGAAAACGAAGGAAAAUUUUGUGUACCUGUAUACAAGUUGAGAGAGAGAGAGAUGGACGCCGCCUUCAAUUCACGGCCAGCAUCACCAUUUCCUUGAUGGAUCAAUUUUUGGAAGAAAUUCAACAGUGAACAAGGAAACCCUCAGAUAUCCGGAGGAAGCACUCUCGCCUCCAAUUCCACUGCCGAGAUUCCGAGAAGAGGCUCUAACGUGUGCAUGUCCAUCUAUAGUCAUGCACGUGUUUUUAUGCCACGCGUUUCUGUGGCGCGUUGAUAUCACUGGCGUAAUUGACCAGACCUAGACAACCAAAAAAAAUUUGAAACCAGCCCACAAUACUUCCGAGUCUUGAACAAGCAGAAAAUAGAGAAUCUCAUAAAACGAUCCAUAGUUUCAUUAUCAUAAACUCUUGUAUACAUAGGAGUGAUAAAAGUUGCAGAUCUUUCAAAGCAAAAAAAUACAUAAUCUCAUAAACCAAACCAUAGUUUCAUUAUGCAUAUUACAAGUAGCAGAUCAAGUGCAUGGCAGCAGCAUUAAAAUAGAUAAUCUCAUAAAGCGAUAAUCCAUAGUUUCAUCCACCAUCAUCAUUGAUGAGUGGAUGGGGGGCAGCGCCGAUUGCCGCCUCCUUUGCCAAUGCCGAUGUGAGUGCAAGGAGAAGAAGCAGAUGGUGGAACAGGCCCCCGUGCCAUUACAACCGCCUCUUUGGAGCUGCUCUGAACCCUAGAACCUUCCACCGGAGCCAGGGUGAUCAGAAUCAGCCAGAGAUAGAGUGGUAUGGAGAUCCACUUCAUCACUUUCUUGAACGCAUUCAUGAUGGAAAGUCGGUGCUAUACAUACAGAGUACCAGUGUUAUAUAGAAGUCGAGCGUUGCAGCACCAACUCCCUCUUGUUCAAAAUAUUCUAUUUCAGUAUUUCCUGUCAACCCCCGCCGUAUAACUACGACUUUCGGGCCCCAACGAAUGUGAAAAGAGAAAUUACGUAUACACCUGGAUAUCCAAGUUGGCCCGCACGUGAAAAUUCAAGCCUUGCACUAUGGUGGACUUCUCUUCCACCUGACCUGGAAUUGUCUUAGCCCUAUUUCCCUUGUCUCCAUUCUUCUUAGAGGCUUUGGAUUCCCCUUCUUUGACUAGUCUUUUCUGUUGUUGCAACCCUUUCCUCUUCUACUCAUAGAAGACAAAAAAAUUUCUUAGAGGCUUUGGAUUCCCCUUCUUUGACUUGUCUUUGCUGUUGUUGCAACCCUUUUCCCUUCUACUCAUAGAAGACAACAUCUGAUCGAUAAUCAACUAGGCAAUCUGCUACCUCCAUGGCUGGAGGCAAGUCCUACACUCCUUGGCGUAUCAGCUCCGUUUGGGCCCAUCCUUACGACCCAAACAUGAAGUUGAACAACUUAUCAACUUCUGACAUGUCCUUGAUGUCGAGGAUCACCGAGCUGAACUCGUUGACAUAGUCUCUAACAGUUUUCGAUUGUUUUAAACUUUUAAGGGACUCAUGUGCCAUCCAAGCCGUAUUUGUGGGAAGGAAUUGAUCCUUCAACUCCUUUUUUAGGUCUCUGGCCUUCCAAUUCAGUAUUGUCAUUCGAUCUUGUGCGCCACCAUGAUUUUGCAUCUCUAGAGAGAUACAUGGUGAUGAGGGUCACUUGCUUGUUCAGAAGGAUAUGUGCAGCACCAAAAUACUGCUCCAUAUCCCAAAGAAAAAUUUUCAAAUCCUUACAAGAUAACACUUUUCAAGCCUCAAUCUAAAUGACAAUUAAGAACAAACAAACAAGUUAAAUAUUUGAAUGUAGAGAAACAUUAUAGAUAAUAUAAAUCUUAAUUUAUAAUUCAAAACAUGACUUCAAUUGAAAUUUUAUCUUCUUCAUUUUUUUGAGUAAAAAAUUUCUUAAAUAUCGGUGUUUCACUGCAACAUAUUUAAAGUCAAUAUAUUUUACUUUAAUUUUCCUCUAAUAUCUUAUGCCAAGGAUUUAAACCAGAUUUGGGAUUUAAAUUCUGUUAGAUGAAUGAAUGCAAACUUUAUAGACUCACAUAUUACUUCACUCUAAAUUUAAAUUAACAAUCCUAAAUGACAGGUUUAAUUCAUCUAAAACAUAUUGAAAUUAAGAGUCCAUUUAGUCGUAUGAUUUAAAAAUAGUUUUCUAUUUUUUAAAAACAAAAAAUUGUUUUUAAAAAUUCUUAAUAUCAUUUGGCGGUUGUUAUCUAAAAAUAAUUUUUGAAAGCAAAAUAAAAUAGAAAACACUUUUUAAAUAAGUAAAAAUUGUUUUCACCAAUUUUAAAAAAUAAAAAUAAAACAUAAAAAAUUUAAAAAAUAAAUAAAAUUGAAUAUGAUAUCAUUCCAUGUAGAUAUCGAAAAUAUUUAAAUAUGAUAUUCUUUUAAAUUACUUUUGUUAAUUUCUUUUAAUUUGUCUAAAAUUUUUCAUUAAAAAAUAAAUUUAAAAUCAAAUUAUAUUUGAUACAUAAAAUUAUUAUUUUUCAAAAAUAAUUUAAAACUAAAAAAUCCAUUGAAUUAAUACUAAAAAGUCAUGAAAUUCAAUAACAUGAAUAAAUCAUAAACUAAAAUUUAUUUUAAUUGUCUAUAUAUAUUACUACAAAUUAGGUAAGACUUAAUAUAUUGAAUUCAAUAAGUAGCUUAAUAAUUUUUAAAAAUAAUUUAAAAUUCAAAUAAUGAACCAAUUAAUACUAGAAAUCUAUGGGGUGUAGAACGACUUUAUUAUUUCUCUUUUAUAUAAAAUUAUUAUUUUAUGAUAACUCUAUUCAUUAAUGAGUCCAAUAAUUUUUUUUUAAAUAACUUAACAUUCAAAUAAUGAAUCAUUUAAUACCAUAAAUUCAUGGACAAAAAUGGGUCUUAAAUGACUCUAUUGUUUCUUUUUUAAUUUUUUUAAUCAAACAAAUAAACUCUAAAUUAAAUAUGAUUUAAUUUAUUGGAUUUAUUAAUAAGUUUAGUUAUUUUUAAAAAUAAUUUAAAACUCAAAUAAAAUACUCAUUAAGGCUAAAAAUUUAUGAAUAAAAAUUGAUUCAUAAUGACUAAUAUUUUUUUGACAUAAUUAUAUUUUUAUAAAUUUUCUCACUAUAAAAAUGAAUUUCAAAUUAAAUAACACUUUUUUUUUUAAAUUUUAAACGAUUUUUAAAUACAAGUUUUAGAAAAUGUGGCAGAUGUAACUGUUUAUUCAUCCAAACCCGAAGCUAGUAAUUUAUAUACCAUGGGAGCAAUGUACAGUAAACAUGAAAAAUGGGCAGCGCACGUGAUAAAAGGGUGUAUAUGAGAGCACAUGAUCAACGAGUUGAGGUGGUUGAGGCAUGCACACAAGGUAUGGGAUUGCUACAUCUUUUAUAUAUAUACUAGGCCCAGGAAUUUGACUUCAAAUAUAUACUUAACCUUAGUUUAGGGGUAAUCUUUUUACAUAUUUCAUCAUUUUGAAAGGAUUCAGACCCAUUCUAUACCAGAUUACCAGGCGUAGGAAAGGAAUAGGUCAGAAAAGACUAAAAGAAAAGAAAAAUCUAUACCCAACUCUGCAUCUAGAUUCUAGACCAGGUACAGAAUCAUUACAAAGGUGUAAAGUAAUCUACCUCGACAGUUUCAAUAUGGGACCAAAAAUACCAUGAAU